UGGGGAAUUUUGGACAAUGGGCGCAAGCCUGAUCCAGCAAUGCCGCGUGCAGGAUGAAGGCCUUCGGGUUGUAAACUGCUUUUGUACGGAACGAAACGGCUCUGGUUAAUACCUGGGGCUAAUGACGGUACCGUAAGAAUAAGCACCGGCUAACUACGUGCCAGCAGCCGCGGUAAUACGUAGGGUGCGAGCGUUAAUCGGAAUUACUGGGCGUAAAGCGUGCGCAGGCGGUGAUGUAAGACAGAUGUGAAAUCCCCGGGCUCAACCUGGGACCUGCAUUUGUGACUGCAUAACUAGAGUACGGCAGAGGGAGGUGGAAUUCCGCGUGUAGCAGUGAAAUGCGUAGAUAUGCGGAGGAACACCGAUGGCGAAGGCAAUCCCCUGGACCUGUACUGACGCUCAUGCACGAAAGCGUGGGGAGCAAACA
Molecule: ribosomal RNA, 427 nt
Filed under: uncultured bacterium
Lineage: Bacteria
Description: bacterial SSU rRNA
Rfam family: Bacterial small subunit ribosomal RNA
Source: RNAcentral